Molecule: long non-coding RNA, 1265 nt
Organism: Magnolia sinica
Lineage: Eukaryota; Viridiplantae; Streptophyta; Magnoliopsida; Magnoliales; Magnoliaceae
Exons: 2
Source: RefSeq, a predicted model, not a curated record
UUUACAAUUUGCCUCUAUACAAUUUGCGUUAACCAAACAGAUCGAUUCCACUAAACUUGCAAGAAAUGGAGGAAGAAGAGUAGAAGGCCCUCUUAAAUUCAAAAUUUUCAAUAAGCCUUGAAAGAUAAUGCUCCCUUCUCUGAAACAACUGCCUUUUACCAUAAUGCAGCUCUUCAUCCUGCGUGAAAAAACAUCUACCUCUGAACAAAUCUUUAACUACUUCACAGAUAUUGCAAGAAAGAAAUUCAAUACUAUUUUUUUAGUGUAUUGAAACAUGAUUUGGAAAGCAGAUGAUGAAAUCAAGCCAUUUGGAAACUGAUUCAUGCGAGAGAUCCAACCAUUAGGUGGGCCGUAUUGUUUAGAUCUUCUGGUUAAAAAUCAGGCCAUUUCAUUCCUCAGGCUGGCCAAACAGAGGCCCAAAACUGUUUCUUGCUAGCCAUUCAUUUGUUUUGUAUGUUAUAGACCACUUGACAAGUGAAACAAACUGAUUUUUAGGCCAGAAUAUCUAAAAAAGCAUAGCCUAAAUGGAGUUUGAUUAUGUAGAUUAUUGUUGUUGACUUGAGUAUUUGAAUCAGUCUCAAAUGCUCAUUUGGAAGCACCCACUAGAGGCCACCUCAAUGAUGGGUCAAUUGUAUUUAAGUGGUUUGCAUUUGUAACUGGUAGAUAUGUAGAUUGUCUUUUGGACCAUUUGUGUAAACUUGUCUUGGCCAUGGAAAAAAGGAGAUGGGUUGGAUAGUUAUGAACUUCCAAUGAGCAUGCUUUUCAAGCUACUCUUUAUCCAAGAGUUGUUCCAUUGCCUAGAUAGUGCAGAUCCGUCCCCGAAGUGCACCAAUUAACAGUUUGUAGGGUUGGCACUGCCAAAGUGAAAAAUGAGAAUGUUCUUUGCUGCACUUCUGGUUGUUGAUAACUAUGAUUAGUUGUCAAUUUCCACUCUUUAUCUUAGAUAGCCGAAUAUACAAACUCAUUUAUGCCAAUUAAUUUUCUUUUUGGCCUUCUUCUUUGCAGGAUUGAUGCUGAGACCUUUCUGUUUAUUGGAUCAGUACUCCUCUUGUGGUAGUGAUAUGUGAAUGGGCGUAGUUGAUUUUUGGGUGAAUAUUGUAAAUUGUUGUCUGUAAGGUCGAUUAAGCAACACAAUUAUUUUUGGGCUAUGUCAGGAAAUGAUACAAUGACCUGUUAUUUCCAUGUGCUUCAGUUAUGCCACAUGACAAUUUAGGUGGACAAUUUUUUGAGGCUGAGCCCACAUUUUAAAUCAUCAUUUUCAUCUC